GGGGCGGAGCCUGCGGUCGGGUCUCGGCGACCCGCCGGGACUUUCUAAUCAGAGUCGUGGGGAUUUUACGGGUGGAGUUACUCCGAAACCUUUAAGGCCGAGUGUGAUAGAUAUUUGCAACCAUUCUUCCAAUCAAUUUUAGAAAAUUUCCACCACCUCAAAAAGAAAUCCUGAUGAAGAAACAUCCUGAGAAGGUUGACAUGCUGAAUGCCUUAAAGAACUUCAAUUGGGAUGCCAGAUGAAAGUGUAACUAGAAUUUCUAUGGCUUAAAUAACGAGAGCUGGAGUGCAGUAGCAUGAUCAUGGCUCACUGCUGCCUCGACCUCCCGGGCUCAGAGAUUCUCUUGCCUCAGCCUCCUGAGUAGCUGGGACCACAGAGAUGGGGUCUCUCUGUUGCCCAGGCUUGUCUGGAACACCUGGGCUCAAAUAAUCCUCCUGCCUUG
This 442-nucleotide long non-coding RNA is filed under the name Homo sapiens (human). RNAcentral describes it as "SGO1 antisense RNA 1". The record is from RNAcentral. Lineage: Eukaryota; Metazoa; Chordata; Mammalia; Primates; Hominidae.